GACGAACGCUGGCGGCGUGCCUAAUACAUGCAAGUCGAACGCUGAAGGAGGAGCUUGCUCUUCUGGAUGAGUUGCGAACGGGUGAGUAACGCGUAGGUAACCUGCCUGGUAGCGGGGGAUAACUAUUGGAAACGAUAGCUAAUACCGCAUAACAGUAGAUGUUGCAUGACAUUUGCUUAAAAGGUGCAAUUGCAUCACUACCAGAUGGACCUGCGUUGUAUUAGCUAGUUGGUGGGGUAACGGCUCACCAAGGCGACGAUACAUAGCCGACCUGAGAGGGGGAGCGGCCAAACUGGGACUGAGACACGGCCCAGACUCCUACGGGAGGCAGCAGUAGGGAAACUUCGGGAAUGGACGGAAGUCUGACCGAGCAACGCCGCGUGAGUGAAGAAGGUUUUCGGAUCGGAAAGCUCUGUUGUAAGAGAAGAACGAGUGUGAGAGUGGAAAGUUCACACUGUGACGGUAGCUUACCAGAAAGGGACGGCUAACUACGUG
RNAcentral lists this ribosomal RNA (495 nucleotides) under uncultured bacterium. RNAcentral's name for it is "partial 16S ribosomal RNA". It matches the Rfam family "Bacterial small subunit ribosomal RNA", at positions 28 to 507 of the family's 1533-position model. The record is from RNAcentral.